GAGAGCCGGGUGCGGUGCCAAGUCGCAUGCCCGGUUCGGGAAGCGGCUCCGGGGAGACGGACCAGUCGAAAGACCGGCAC
RNAcentral lists this unclassified non-coding RNA (80 nucleotides) under Streptomyces sp. OK228. The record is from RNAcentral. Lineage: Bacteria; Bacillati; Actinomycetota; Actinomycetes; Kitasatosporales; Streptomycetaceae.